Molecule: ribosomal RNA, 482 nt
Filed under: uncultured bacterium
Lineage: Bacteria
Description: partial 16S ribosomal RNA
Rfam family: Bacterial small subunit ribosomal RNA
Source: RNAcentral
GAUGAACGCUAGCGGCAGGCCUAAUACAUGCAAGUCGGACGGGAUUCAGGAGCUUGCUUCUGAUGAGAGUGGCGCACGGGUGCGUAACACGUAUGUAACCUACCUUUAUCAGGGGGAUAGCCUCUCGAAAGAGAGAUUAAGCCCGCAUAAAAUCACAGCACAGCAUUGUGUAAUGAUCAAAUAUUUAUAGGAUAAAGGUGGGCAUGCGGAACAUUAGCUAGAUGGCGGGGUAACGGCCCACCAUGGCGACGAUGUUUAGGGGAUCUGAGAGGAUGGCCCCCCACACUGGUACUGAGACACGGACCAGACUCCUACGGGAGGCAGCAGUAAGGAAUAUUGGUCAAUGGGCGGAAGCCUGAACCAGCCAUGCCGCGUGCAGGAAGACGGCCCUACGGGUUGUAAACUGCUUUUAUACGGGAAUAAACCCAGAUACGUGUAUCUGGCUGAAUGUACUGUAAGAAUAAGGAUCGGCUAACUCCGUG